RNAcentral lists this long non-coding RNA (387 nucleotides) under Pongo abelii (Sumatran orangutan). RNAcentral describes it as "lincRNA". Lineage: Eukaryota; Metazoa; Chordata; Mammalia; Primates; Hominidae. The record is from RNAcentral.
UAGCGUGUGGCCGCCUUUUCCAGCAUGGCCUCCUGCUUCCCUGGUGCACUUUUUGGAGAAGGUGGUGGAAUCAGAGGUUUCUGGCUGACUCGGUGGGUGCUUUGAACCAGGAAAGGACAAGAAAGAGGUGAGUUGCACUUGGCAGUCAUAGUACAGCUGCCUCCCUGUGGCUCUUCUUGCUUUGAGGUUUUGCUCCUUCUUCAGUGCAACCCUUUGCCCAGACAUCCCUAAUGCCCCCAGCUCAGAGCAGCAGUUUGCAGGCAGGAGCUUUGCAGUUAGCCAUCGGAGAACCCCAAAGACAGGGUUAAUAAGUACAAACAGUCAUCACAAUUCAGGCCAGGCUGUGUGCUCCUGACUUUUAGUUGAAUCAACUCAUUUUUACCUCUC